RNAcentral lists this ribosomal RNA (460 nucleotides) under uncultured bacterium. RNAcentral describes it as "partial 16S ribosomal RNA". It matches the Rfam family "Bacterial small subunit ribosomal RNA", at positions 338 to 795 of the family's 1533-position model. The record is from RNAcentral.
CCUACGGGUGGCAGCAGUGAGGAAUAUUGGUCAAUGGGCUUACGCCUGAACCAGCCAAGUCGCGUGAGGGAAGACUGCCCUAUGGGUUGUAAACCUCUUUUGUCAGGGAGCAACGCCGGCCACGUGUAGCCGGACUGAGAGUCCCUGAAGAAAAAGCAUCGGCUAACUCCGUGCCAGCAGCCGCGGUAUUACGGAGGAUGCGAGCGUUAUCCGGAUUUUUUGGGUUUAAAGGGUGCGUAGGCGGAAUGUCAAGUCAGCGGUAAAAUCGCGGGGCUCAACCGCGCUCCGCCGUUGAAACUGGCGUACUUGAGUGGGCGAGAAGUACGCGGAAUGCGUGGUGUAGCGGUGAAAUGCAUAGAUAUCACGCAGAACUCCGAUUGCGAAGGCAGCAUACCGGCGCCAGACUGACGCUGAAGCACGAAAGCGUGGGUAUCGAACAGGAUUAGAUACCCUAGUAGUC